GAAUGCUGACAUAAGUAACGAUAAAGCGGGUGAAAAGCCCGCUCGCCGGAAGACCAAGGGUUCCUGUCCAACGUUAAUCGGGGCAGGGUGAGUCGACCCCUAAGGCGAGGCCGAAAGGCGUAGUCGAUGGGAAACGGGUUAAUAUUCCCGUACUUGGUGUUACUGCGAAGGGGGGACGGAGAAGGCUAUGUUGGCCGGGCGACGGUUGUCCCGGUUUAAGCGUGUAGGUGUGUGUUCCAGGUAAAUCCGGUUCACUUUAACACUGAGGCGUGAUGACGAGGCACUACGGUGCUGAAGCAACAAAUGCCCUGCUUCCAGGAAAAGCCUCUAAGCAUCAGGUAACAUCAAAUCGUACCCCAAACCGACACAGGUGGUCAGGUAGAGAAUACCAAGGCGCUUGAGAGAACUCGGGUGAAGGAACUAGGCAAAAUGGUGCCGUAACUUCGGGAGAAGGCACGCUGACACGUAGGUGAAGU
RNAcentral lists this ribosomal RNA (476 nucleotides) under Salmonella enterica. RNAcentral's name for it is "partial 23S ribosomal RNA". It matches the Rfam family "Bacterial large subunit ribosomal RNA", at positions 1292 to 1772 of the family's 2925-position model. RNAcentral also lists the same sequence under 2 other names. The record is from RNAcentral. Lineage: Bacteria; Pseudomonadati; Pseudomonadota; Gammaproteobacteria; Enterobacterales; Enterobacteriaceae.